CGAGACGCUCCCCCAGUUUUGGUAAAAGUGACUCGAGAUAUCGUCACUUCACCGGUCGGCUCGCUCUCUCCCGUCUUUUCCAGUCACUUCCAAACCGUGAUUGGAGUUCUCCAUUGGGGGGAGAACAUAGGCUGAGGCUCACGCAGCAGAUACAUUGAAGUGCAGCGCUGCAGCAUUGAGCAGCAUUUUGUUGGCUAUAACCGCUCUCCGUGGACCUGACCUGCUCCACCCGCAUAGCACCAGCUCGACAUCCGGUGCUGAAAGGACAGCGCCAGGACCAGCAUCAUAUCAGUGGUGACGCAUUCUCCCAUUUUCCCUACAUGUUCUGCCAUAUAUAAUUAGUUUAGAUUCUAACUUUCGACAAGAGAGCCAUAUUGCCCAGCCUUGAACCCCCAAGAAAGGUUAAAUAAUAGCAAUAGAGCGGGUGAUAACUCUAUUCAUGCAAGGCACUACCGCUUUAUUUGAACAACGUUGUUUAGUCACUUCUCAGUGUUCAAGGCCAACACUUAGCGCUAUUACACAACACAUAAACAGCUCAGAACAUUGCAGCAGGUGAGAAGAGGUAAGAUAUUGCAUAGGAGGUCGGCUGUGGUGUGUAUUGAACCACCACAGUCAAAAUUCUUUUCCAUUUUCUUAAAAUGUGUUUCUAAAUAUAAGGUUAUAAUAUACAGUGCCUUGGGAAAGUAUUCACCCCCUUUGACUUUCCCCACAUUUUGUUGUGUUACAGCCGUAUUCUAAAAUGGAUUAAUAAAAAAUAAAAAAUCUACACACAAUACCUCCAUUGAUCAUCCUUGAGAUGUUUCUACAACUUGAUUGUAGUCCACCGGCGGUAAAUUCAAUUGAUUGGACAUGAUUUGGAAAGGCACACACCUGUCUAUAUAAGGUCCCACAGUUGACAGUGCAUGUCAGAGAAAAAAACAAGCCAUGAGGUCGAAGGAAUUGUCCGUAGAGCUCCGAGACAGGAUUGUGUAGAGGCACAGAUCUGGGGAAGGGUACCAAAAAAUGUCUGCAGCAUUGAAGGACUUCAAGAACACAGUGGUCUCCUCAUUUUUAAAUCAAAGAAGUUUGGAACCACCAAGGCCAAACUGAACAAUCCGGGGAGAAGGGCCUUGGUCAAGGAGGUGACCAAGAACCUGAUAGUAUUUUUCAGGUACAGGGACUGGGAGACUAGUCACGAUCGAGGGAAAGAUGAACGGAGCAAUGUACAGCGAGAUCCUUGAUGAAAACCUGCUCCAGAGUGCUCAGGACCUCAGAAUGGAGCAAGGGUUUACCUUCCAACAGGACAGCGACCCUAAGCACACAGCCAAGACAACGUAGGUGUGUCUUCCAGACAAGUCUCUGAAUGUCCUUGAGUGGCCCAGCCAGAGCCCAGACUUGAACCCAUGUCUGGAGAGACCUGAAAAUAGCUGUGCAGCAACGCUCCCCAUCCCACCUGACAGAGCUUGAGAGGAUCUGCAUAGGAGAAUGGGAGAAACCCCCCAAAUACAGGUGAGCCAAGCUUGUAGCGUCAUACCCAAGAAUACUUGAGGCUGUAAUUUCUGCCAAAGGUGCUUCAACAAAAUACUGAGUAAAGGGUCUGAAUACUUAUGUAAAUGUGAUAUUUCUGUAUAGUUUAAAAAUAUAUAUUUUUUGCAAAAUCGAAUAGAAACCAGAUUUUGCUUUUUCAUUUUGGGGUAUUGUGUGUAGAUUAAUUAAAAAAACAAAGAUUUAAUACAUUUUAGAAUAAGGCUGUAACGUAACAAAAUGUGGAAAAAGUCAAGAGGUCUGAAUACUUUCAGAAGACAAUGUAUAUAUAUAUAUAAAUAUAUAUAAUUUUUUGAAUAUAUAUUUUUUGAAUAUACAAUAUACACAGUUUGGAUACACCUACUCAUUCAAGGGUUUUUCUUUAUGUUGACUUGUUGGCUGCUUUUCCUUCCCUCUGCGGUCCAACUCAUCCCAAACCAUCUCAAUUGGGUUGAGGUCAGGUAAUUGUGGAGACCAGGUCAUCUGAUGCAGCACUCCGUCACUCUCCUUCUUGGUCAAAUAGCCCUUACACAGCCUGGAGGUGUGUUGGGUCAAUGUCCCACUAAGCGCAAACCAGAUGGGAUGGCGUAUCACUACAGCCAUGCUGAUUAAGUGUGCCUUGAAUUCUAAAUAAAUCUCAGACAGUGUCACCAGCAAAGCACCCCCACAGCAUCACACCUCCUCCUCCAUGCUUCACGGUGGGAACCACACAUGCUGAGAUCAUCCGUUCACCUACUCUGAGUCUCACAAAGACACCGUGGUUGCAACCAAAAAUCGCAAAUUUGGACUCAUCAGAACAAAGAACGUAUCUCCACCGGUCUAAUGUCAAGUGCUCGUGUUUCUUGGCCCAAGUAAGUCUCUUCUUCUUAUUGGUGUCCUUUAGUAGUGAUUUCUUUGCAGCAAUUCAACCAUGAAGGCCUGAUUCCAGUGGUCUCCUCUGAGCAGUUGAUGUUGAGAUGUGUCUGUUGCUUGAACUCUGUGAAGCAUUUAUUUGGGCUGCAAUUUCUGAGGCUGGUAACUGUAAUGAUUUUAUCCUCUGCAGUAGAGGUAACUCUGGGUCUUCUUUUCCUGUGUCGGUCCUCAUGAGAGCCAGUUUCAUUACAACGAUGGUUUUUGCAACUGCGCUUGAAGAAACUUUCAAAGUUCUUGAAACUUUCCAUAUUGACUGACCUCCAUGUUUUAAAGUAAUGAUGGACUGUCGUUUCUCUUUGCUGAUUUGACCUGUUCUUGCCAUAAUAUGGACUUGGUCUUUUACCAAAUAGGGCUAUCUUCUGUAUACCACCCCUACCUUGUCACAACACAACUGAUUGGUUAUCUUCUGUAUACCACCCCUACCUUGUCACAACACAACUGAUUGGCUCAAACGCAUUAAGAAGGAAAGACAUUCCACAAAUGAACUUUUAACAAGGCACACCUGUUAAUUGCAAUGCAUUCCAGGUGACUACCUCAUGAAGCUGGUUGAGAGAAUGCCAAGAGUGUACAAAGCUGUCAUCAAGGCAAAGGGUGGCUACUUUGAGGAAUUUCAAAUGUAAAAUAUAUUUUGAUUUGUUUAACACUUGUUUGGUUACUACAUGAUUCCAUAUGUGUUAUUUCAUAGUUUUGAUGUCUCAUUAUUAUUCUACCAUGUAGAAAAUAGUAAAAAUAAAGAAAAACCCUUGAAUGAG
Molecule: long non-coding RNA, 3167 nt
Organism: Oncorhynchus tshawytscha (Chinook salmon)
Lineage: Eukaryota; Metazoa; Chordata; Actinopteri; Salmoniformes; Salmonidae
Source: Ensembl